Ctenocephalides felis (cat flea) is the source of this 175-nucleotide long non-coding RNA. RefSeq lists it as uncharacterized. The record is from RefSeq and is a predicted model, not a curated record. The transcript has 3 exons. NCBI's taxonomy places the organism in Eukaryota, Metazoa, Arthropoda, Insecta, Siphonaptera, Pulicidae.
CAACGCACCGAAUAGACACCACAUCGACCUAUUUAUCUGGGACUUCUCUCUCUAAUAAUACAAUUCUUCCAAUUCCACCAUCAACGCACCGAAUAGACACCACAUCGACCUAUUUAUCUGGGACUUCUCUCUCUAAUAAUACAAUUCUUCCAAUUCCACCAUCAACGCACCGAAU